This 376-nucleotide unclassified non-coding RNA is filed under the name soil metagenome. Its description in RNAcentral is "partial contains 5.8S ribosomal RNA, internal transcribed spacer 2, and large subunit ribosomal RNA". The stretch from base 1 to 120 matches the Rfam family "5.8S ribosomal RNA", at positions 35 to 154 of the family's 154-position model. The record is from RNAcentral.
GAUGAAGAACGCAGCGAGAUGCGAUAAGUAAUGUGAAUUGCAGAAUUCAGUGAAUCAUCGAAUCUUUGAACGCAUCUUGCGCUCCUUGGUAUUCUGAGGAGCAUGCCUGUUUGAGUGUCAUUAAAUUCUCAACUACACUGACUUUGAAUUGGUGUGGCUUGGAUUUGGGGGGAAAAUUGUUGUGGGCUUUUUGUAUAGUCUGCUCCCCUGAAAUUGAUUAGCGGUACCUUUGUGGAACUGUCUACAGGUGUGAUAAUUAUCUACAUCUUAGACAUCUGCUGGAAUGCUGCUUUCUAAACCUUACUUGUAUUGACAAUCUUGACCUCAAAUCAGGUAGGACUACCCGCUGAACUUAAGCAUAUCAAUAAGCGGAGGA